RNAcentral lists this long non-coding RNA (355 nucleotides) under Setaria viridis. RNAcentral describes it as "long non-coding RNA (SVIR_LNC006962)". The record is from RNAcentral. Lineage: Eukaryota; Viridiplantae; Streptophyta; Magnoliopsida; Poales; Poaceae.
UCAUACAAGAACUAGGGUGAUGGUGCUUAUCGACAUGGCAUAUAUAAGUGCAUCACACAACCAGCAAGUUGAAGGUGAUCAAAGUAUAUUACAUUUGUUUUUAAACCACUCAUACAUAAGCAAGUCACACACCAACAUCACUAAGGUUCUAGCAAGCUAUGCAGCAAGGUUAUUUCGUAGCAACAUGUAUACAUGACCAUUUAUUAGUUAAGUGCUUGACCAACAUUAUAUAACACAUUUAUAAUAUUCUUAGGUAGAUCAAUUUAACUCUAAUAGUGAUAAGAGCUAACUAACAAACAUACAAGGCAAUGUCAAGUUAAAGCUAAUAACUUAAGCACAUACACCGAAUCUGGAC